Molecule: ribosomal RNA, 527 nt
Filed under: uncultured bacterium
Lineage: Bacteria
Description: partial 16S ribosomal RNA
Rfam family: Bacterial small subunit ribosomal RNA
Source: RNAcentral
UGGGGAAUUUUGGACAAUGGGCGAAAGCCUGAUCCAGCAAUGCCGCGUGUGUGAAGAAGGCCUUCGGGUUGUAAAGCACUUUUGUCCGGAAAGAAAUCCUUGGCUCUAAUACAGUCGGGGGAUGACGGUACCGGAAGAAUAAGCACCGGCUAACUACGUGCCAGCAGCCGCGGUAAUACGUAGGGUGCAAGCGUUAAUCGGAAUUACUGGGCGUAAAGCGUGCGCAGGCGGUUUGCUAAGACCGAUGUGAAAUCCCCGGGCUCAACCUGGGAACUGCAUUGGUGACUGGCAGGCUAGAGUAUGGCAGAGGGGGGUAGAAUUCCACGUGUAGCAGUGAAAUGCGUAGAGAUGUGGAGGAAUACCGAUGGCGAAGGCAGCCCCCUGGGCCAAUACUGACGCUCAUGCACGAAAGCGUGGGGAGCAAACAGGAUUAGAUACCCUGGUAGUCCAGCGCCCUAAACGAUGUCAACUAGUUGUUGGGGAUUCAUUUCCUUAGUAACGUAGCUAACGCGUGAAGUUGACCGCCU